CAGAACGCAGGCUGCCCACGGCACGGAAACUCGCUUGAUUUUUUGGUUCUUAGGUCAAGUCAUGUGAUUGCUCCGAGGUGUACCACCUAUAGAAUCUGUGACUGGUGGAACGUUCAUUCUUUAAAGUCAAGAUGUCACUGAGAGUCAUCCAAUUAUUCUACUAUAAAGAGAGCCUUUCCAGAAAGUGAUAGAUUGUCUUCCUGGGCCUGGCUGCAGUUUGCCUCCAGACACAAUUUCAUGGCUUACUGGGUAAGUUUGUGGUCGACUGGAAAGUAAAUGAAUUGCUUGAGCAGGGGCUCAUUUUUCAGGGCUUGUCCAUUUGCAGAAUCUGUGUGACUUCUCUGUCACCUUGGGGACUCUGACCUAACUCAGAGCUACACAGAGUUCAUUUUCAUCUGUCAUCUCAGCCCAUCUCCUUCUGAGUCAAAUACUUAUUUGUAAAAUUUUCCUUCUGUAAGUACUUUGUAGGGUGUCAUGGAUCCUUUAAACACCAAGACUGCCAACUCGAUUCUCCUCAGCCUAUAGUCGUCCUUUAACAAAAAUACACAUUAUGCUUUCCACAAAUAGACUGUAAUUGGGUGGUGUGCACUGCAUGGCUCUUGACCUCCUCUUGAACUCAUUGUCCAAUGUGCAUUGCGCGUCUUUGCCAAGGUUACCCUGCACAGCUCUGCUAUUCUGAGACUUCUGGCUGUUGGAGGAAAAUGGUUCUUGAGGGGGUCUUGGGCAUCUGUCACCUCAUAUUCCCAGAGGAUUUUUAGCCAGAUCUUGUCCUCUCAAGGGUUCAAAAGUUUCCCUGGACUCAUGGGUAUACUUUCAAGGCAGAGGGCAA
Molecule: long non-coding RNA, 829 nt
Organism: Mustela erminea (ermine)
Lineage: Eukaryota; Metazoa; Chordata; Mammalia; Carnivora; Mustelidae
Exons: 3
Source: RefSeq, a predicted model, not a curated record